Molecule: ribosomal RNA, 428 nt
Filed under: Gemmatimonadota bacterium
Lineage: Bacteria; Pseudomonadati; Gemmatimonadota
Description: Gemmatimonadetes bacterium partial 16S ribosomal RNA
Rfam family: Bacterial small subunit ribosomal RNA
Source: RNAcentral
UAGGGAAUCUUCGGCAAUGGACGAAAGUCUGACCGAGCAACGCCGCGUGAGUGAAGAAGGUUUUCGGAUCGUAAAACUCUGUUGUUAGAGAAGAACAAGGACGUUAGUAACUGAACGUCCCUGACGGUAUCUAACCAGAAAGCCACGGCUAACUACGUGCCAGCAGCCGCGGUAAUACGUAGGUGGCAAGCGUUGUCCGGAUUUAUUGGGCGUAAAGCGAGCGCAGGCGGUUUCUUAAGUCUGAUGUGAAAGCCCCCGGCUCAACCGGGGAGGGUCAUUGGAAACUGGGAGACUUGAGUGCAGAAGAGGAGAGUGGAAUUCCAUGUGUAGCGGUGAAAUGCGUAGAUAUAUGGAGGAACACCAGUGGCGAAGGCGGCUCUCUGGUCUGUAACUGACGCUGAGGCUCGAAAGCGUGGGGAGCAAACAGG